RNAcentral lists this ribosomal RNA (253 nucleotides) under uncultured bacterium. Its description in RNAcentral is "partial 16S ribosomal RNA". It matches the Rfam family "Bacterial small subunit ribosomal RNA", at positions 524 to 776 of the family's 1533-position model. The record is from RNAcentral.
UACGAAGGGGGCUAGCGUUGCUCGGAAUGACUGGGCGUAAAGGGCGCGUAGGCGGUUUGUCUAGUCAGGCGUGAAAUUCCUGGGCUUAACCUGGGGGCUGCGCUUGAUACAGGCAGGCUUGAGUGUGGAAGAGGGUCGUGGAAUUCCCAGUGUAGAGGUGAAAUUCGUAGAUAUUGGGAAGAACACCGGUGGCGAAGGCGGCGACCUGGUCCAUUACUGACGCUGAGGCGCGAAGGCGUGGGGAGCGAACGGG